AGAGUUUGAUCCUGGCUCAGAAUCAACGCUGGCGGCGCGCUUAACACAUGCAAGUCGAACGAGAAAGUGGAGCAAUCCAUGAGUACAGUGGCGUACGGGUGAGUAACACGUGGGUAAUCUGCCUUUUAGUGAGGAAUAACCCUGGGAAACCGGGGCUAAUACCGCAUAAGCCUUAGCAGGGAAAGUCGAAAGACGCUGAGAGAGGAGCCCGCGGCCGAUUAGCUAGUUGGUGAGGUAAAAGCCCACCAAGGCAGAGAUCGGUAGCCGGCCUGAGAGGGCACACGGCCACACUGGCACUGAAACACGGGCCAGACUCCUACGGGAGGCAGCAGUGGGGAAUCUUGCACAAUGGGGGAAACCCUGAUGCAGCGACGCCGCGUGAGCGAUGAAGCCCUUCGGGGUGUAAAGCUCUUUCGGCAGGGAAGAUAGUGACGGUACCUGCAGAAGCAGCUGCGGCUAACUACGUGCCAGCAGCCGCGGUAAUACGUAGGCAGCAAGCGUUGUUCGGAGUUACUGGGCGUAAAGGGUGUGUAGGCGGUUCUUUAAGUUUGGUGUGAAAUCUCCCGGCUCAACCGGGAGGGUGCGCCGAAUACUGAGGGACUAGAGUGUGGGAGAGGAAAGUGGAAUUCCUGGUGUAGCGGUGAAAUGCGUAGAUAUCAGGAGGAACACCGGUGGUGUAGACGGCUUUCUGGACCAUAACUGACGCUGAGACACGAAAGCGUGGGUAGCAAACAGGAUUAGAUACCCUAGUAGUCC
RNAcentral lists this ribosomal RNA (756 nucleotides) under uncultured bacterium. Its description in RNAcentral is "bacterial SSU rRNA". It matches the Rfam family "Bacterial small subunit ribosomal RNA", at positions 8 to 796 of the family's 1533-position model. The record is from RNAcentral.